RNAcentral lists this ribosomal RNA (119 nucleotides) under Manihot esculenta (cassava). Lineage: Eukaryota; Viridiplantae; Streptophyta; Magnoliopsida; Malpighiales; Euphorbiaceae. The record is from RNAcentral.
GGGUGCGAUCAUAACAGCACUAAUGCACCGAAUCCCAUCAGAACUCCGAAGAUAAACGUGCUUGGGCGAGAGCAGUACUAAGAUGGGUGACCUCUUGAGAAGUCCUCGUGUUGCACCCU